AUGGUGGCGGCGGUGGACGCGGUGGCGGAGAAGGUGGUAGCGCAGCUCCGGGAGGAGUGCGCGACCCCGGCGACGCGGCUGGAUGGCGUGGCGACGGCCAUGGAGGAGGAGAUGAGGGCUGGGCUGCACGAGGACGGCGGCAGCAAGAUCAAGAUGAUCAUCUCCUACGUCGACAACCUCCCCAACGGGAGUGAAGAAGGCUUGUUCUACGCACUGGACCUUGGAGGAACAAACUUCCGCGUGCUUCGUGUGCAGCUUGCUGGCAAGGACAAGCGCGUUGUCAAGCGUGAAUCCAGGGAGGUCUCUAUUCCUCCUCACCUCAUGUCAGGCAGCGCUGCGGAGUUGUUUGGCUUCAUCGCGUCCGCGCUAGCCAAGUUUGUUGCAGAUGAAGGAGAUAACAAAGUGUUGGACGGCAAGCAGAGGGAGCUGGGCUUCACGUUCUCUUUCCCCGUGAGGCAGUCGUCCAUUGCGUCGGGCACCCUGAUCAAGUGGACAAAGGCGUUUGCCAUCGAUGACGCGAUCGGCGAAGAUGUAGUCGCGGAAUUGCAGACGGCCAUGGAGAAGCAAGGUGUCGACAUGCGUGUGUCUGCAUUGAUCAACGACACCGUAGGGACACUGGCUACGGGCAGCUAUAACGAUGAAGAUGUUGUCAUCGGCGUGAUAUUAGGCACCGGCUCAAAUGCCGCAUAUGUAGAAAAGGCAGAUGCCAUACCCAAGUUGGAAGGAGAGUUACCAAAAUCAGGAAAUAUGGUUAUAAAUACCGAAUGGGGCAACUUCUCUUCUUCAUGCCUUCCGAUCACAGAAUAUGAUCAAGCAUUAGACAAGGAGAGCCUAAAUCCUAGAGAGCAGAUCUUCGAAAAGUUAAUAUCCGGAAUGUAUCUUGGUGACAUCGUGAGGCGGGUGCUUCUUAAAAUCGCCUCGCGGUCUUCGAUUUUUGGUCACAUUAAACGCACCAACCUCGAAACUCGCUUCAUUCUGAGGACUCCUGAUAUUUCCGCGAUGCACCAUGAUGAAACCCCUGAUCUGAGGAUUGUAGCUGAAAAACUGGCAGAAACCCUGAAGAUCAAAGACACGUCCUUGGAGACUCGGAAGAUGGUCGUCGAAAUCUGCGACAUCGUGACCAGCAGGUCUGCCCGGCUGGCUGCUGCCGGGAUUGUGGGGAUAAUCAGGAAGAUUGGUAGGGGCACCCCAGGCGACGAGAGGAGGACAGUCAUCGCGAUCGACGGCGGGCUGUUUGAGCAUUACGCCAAGUUCCGGCAGUGCCUGGAGAGCACGCUGGUGGAGCUGCUUGGCGAGGAGGCGUCGGAGUUGGUGGCGGUCAAGCUCACAAAGGACGGUUCGGGCGUCGGAGCUGCCCUGAUUGCUGCUGCUCACUCUCAGUACCUCAACUGA
Molecule: ribosomal RNA, 1392 nt
Filed under: Triticum aestivum (bread wheat)
Lineage: Eukaryota; Viridiplantae; Streptophyta; Magnoliopsida; Poales; Poaceae
Description: partial small subunit ribosomal RNA
Source: RNAcentral